Mizuhopecten yessoensis (Yesso scallop) is the source of this 1933-nucleotide long non-coding RNA. RefSeq lists it as uncharacterized. The record is from RefSeq and is a predicted model, not a curated record. NCBI's taxonomy places the organism in Eukaryota, Metazoa, Mollusca, Bivalvia, Pectinida, Pectinidae. The transcript is spliced from 7 exons.
AAGAUGGCGGCGCUCGGUAGUAAAUUGGCAGAUGGCAGUUUUAUAUAAUUAUUUUGGUUAUAAGACUGCUUUUAAAAGGAGCUGUUGCGGAUGUUUGGCAUUCCCUACAUCGUCAGUCCGAUGGAGGCUGAGGCUCAGUGUGCGUUUAUGAACCUCACCAAUCAAACAGAAGGAUCCGUCACCAAUGACAGCGAUAUCUGGUUAUUUGGCUGGACCUGUGUCUACAAUUUUUCCAGAGAACCAAUAUAGAUAUCAAUUAGGUUUGUGCCGAGAGAAAAUGAUCGCCCUGCUGUGUGGCAGUGACUACACCUUGGGGGUACAGAGGGUCGGUCCUGUGUCUGCUCUGGGAUCAUGGCCGAGUUUCCAGGCGAAGGUGAUCAACAUCGGCCUGCUGUGUGGCAGUGACUACACCUUGGGGGUACAGAGGGUUGGUCCUGUGUCUGCUCUGGAGAUCAUGGCCAAGUUUCCAGGGGAAGGUGAUCAACAUCGACCUGCUGUGUGGCAGUGACUACACCUUGGGGUACAGAGGGUUGGUCCCUGCUCUGGAGAUCAUGGCCGAGUUUCCAGGGGAAGGAAUCCCGGCACUUGUUGACAAGUCCUGGUGGGACAGAGUAAGACACCAGCAAGACAAGGACACUUAGAUCAGGAAUAAACUCGGGAAGCUGGAUAUUAACAAAGGAUUUCCCAGCACAGCAGUUGUGGAUGCUUACCUCAACCCACAAUUAGACCAGUCAGAGGAAGCCUCCUCCUGGUCGCGACCUGACCUUGACCUUCUCAGAGAUUAUGCCAGAGAGAAAUUUGAUGAAGAAGAUGAACGAGAAACAGAGCCAGGGAAGAAUUGACAAAUGUUUCCAACCAGAAGCAUUUUUAGAAUCUAAAAAGGCAAAAAGGUCUGGUUUCAAAAAGGCUCUCUCAAAAUUAACAACUGCUCCUACUUCUAAUCUUUCCCAAACCGAGGCAAAGAUGCUAUGGAUGAAAGACAGAAAAAGUUGAAAGGCAAAGCGAUCAGUGAAAGGCAAACGUCAAAAGGGUAAAGGUAAAGGAAAGGGCAAAGGCAAGUUGAAAGGUGAUUCUAAGAAGAGUGAAGGUAAGCCUUAUAAGCUUAUUAAGGAGGUUGUUGAGCUGUCGGAGAGUAGCUCAAGUGAUGAGGAAAUGGGUAGUGCAUGUAAACCCAAAGUUAGUAAGUCAGCGAAUGUUGCUGCUGCGUCUUCGGUGAGGAGAGAUGAGUUGAAAUCCCUCUCCCAUCUGGAACCAGGAUUUUGUCGGGACGACGAUGAAGAUACAAGCGAGACAUUGGGACAAAAACUUAAAUCUCACUUUGAUCGUCUCGAAAAAUUAUUUGAUACACAGAUGGAAGUGCAACAGAAACCUAGUGGUAGACAGACGAGUAAAAGGAGGGGUAAACAAUCCUCCAAUACUGCUGAUGAGGAAAUGACAAUGUCAAGGGUCUCACGGACAUCGAAAACUAAGGCUCGCUCAAACUUGGCCAAGAUGAACAUCUCUGACUGUUCAUCUGGUAAUGAUUAUUGAUGUAAUCGUUUAAGGUUGUUCGACCUGACCUAUUUCUAUGUAAUAGAGAGCUGUAACAUUGUAGAGGGAUUCUGUUUCUGUAUAGGUACCAUGUUAUUCUGAAGGGCAAUACAAGUAUUGUAUCUUCAGGGUGUUUUGAUACUUAAUUCUGAUUUGUGAAAAUUUAAAAAACACAUUCAAUAACAUUUAUAUUAAAAUUUGUUGUUAAUUGAAUGGAGCUAAAUUCUGUUUCUUGUCUUGACAGUAUAUGCUUUGUGUAUUGUCUGAUCCUGGAUUCAAAAAACUUUUCACCCUGUCUGUGCGCCCAUCCUUCCAGAAAGUUUACCCAUGAACAUGUAUAUGAAAAUUAAUUUGUUGAAAAAAAUAUGUUCAGGUUGGACAAUUUUAAAUGUUUAGAUAUGAU